This 28-nucleotide non-coding RNA is filed under the name Callithrix jacchus (white-tufted-ear marmoset). Lineage: Eukaryota; Metazoa; Chordata; Mammalia; Primates; Cebidae. The record is from RNAcentral. RNAcentral also lists the same sequence under 2 other names.
GUCUAGUGGUUAGGAUUCGGCGCUCUCA